RNAcentral lists this microRNA (21 nucleotides) under Sus scrofa (pig). RNAcentral's name for it is "ssc-miR-9797-3p". Lineage: Eukaryota; Metazoa; Chordata; Mammalia; Artiodactyla; Suidae. The record is from miRBase by way of RNAcentral.
CAGUAGGGAUGAGAGGACACU